RNAcentral lists this unclassified non-coding RNA (879 nucleotides) under Athalia rosae (coleseed sawfly). RNAcentral's name for it is "misc RNA ENSAEAG00005011459.1". The record is from RNAcentral. Lineage: Eukaryota; Metazoa; Arthropoda; Insecta; Hymenoptera; Athaliidae.
UGAGUAUGUACAUUAUGGUAUACCAAGGAGGUAAAUUUAAAAAUUUCUGGUUCAUCAAGUUGUCCGAAAAAUGAGGAUGAUGAAAAUUCAGAACGAGGUGUAAAAUUUCCAACUGUCAAAACAGGGCAUGAAGACGAAGCAAUUUUAGUUUGGACCACCGAUGGCUGGAUUGUCAGAAAAUUCGAUAUUUCUUCCAUCGUGAGUGGUUUCAGUUUCAUUGGCAAACGACAAUCCGAAGAUUUUUCUAGAGGUCUAUUAAGAUAUUGUCUUGGGACGGUGUCUCGCCUCCCCACGAUCAUUACUCAUCGCCCUCGCAAAGUUGAUAAGUGUACUACAGAAUGAAAGAGACCAAUGGAUAAAAAUAAAAUAUCGUAGAGGCUGGAGAACGCAGGGGAGGCUGCAUGACGGCGAUAAUGGGUAGCGGAGAGUGUAGAUAAGUGCCAAGGAAUUUAAACCUCGCCAAUCGACUCUAAAAUAGAGCUUUGCCUUCUGGAAUCGUUGGACUGGUCGCGCAAGGCGCUGCUGACGCCCGUCUCGUUGCCUCCGCCUCUUUCAAUGCCUCGUCGAAGCUCUGCGUUGAAUUUGACCUUGAAGGAACGACUUUUGUCUACGGAAGAAACGGAGGAAUUAGUCUAACGUCGAUUACUCAGACCUUGGGGGAGUCAGAGUUCUAGUUUGGGGCUGGAACUAUUCUAAUCAGCUACCUUGACGUUCUCAUACGCCGAACCAACUUUUUCUUCGAGUGAUCGGAAACUCUCAGAGUUCCGCAUCUGCCCAAGUUUCGAAGUAAUUCCACUGCUGAAUCCACCAAGAAUGCUGGUUGUUUUUUCAGCAGUUGUUUUUAUCACUGAUUCUGUUUUUUGGAAUCUAUAAUUAAAA